UACGAAGGGGACUAGCGUUGUUCGGAUUUACUGGGCGUAAAGCGCGCGUAGGCGGAUCGCUAAGUCAGGGGUGAAAUCCCAGGGCUCAACCCUGGAACUGCCUUUGAUACUGACGGUCUGGAGAUCGGGAGAGGUUGGUGGAAUUCCGAGUGUAGAGGUGAAAUUCGUAGAUAUUCGGGGGAACACCAGAAGCGAAGGCGGCCAACUGGCCCGAUACUGACGCUGAGGCGCGAAAGCGUGGGGAGCAAACGGG
RNAcentral lists this ribosomal RNA (253 nucleotides) under uncultured bacterium. RNAcentral describes it as "partial 16S ribosomal RNA". It matches the Rfam family "Bacterial small subunit ribosomal RNA", at positions 524 to 776 of the family's 1533-position model. The record is from RNAcentral.